CGGAGCAACGUAAAGGAGGCACGUGAAGGUGGCGCUCUCUGAGGCGGUCCGGCGCUCUCUGAGGCGGUCCGGCUCUCUCAGGGUGUUCCGGCAGGCUUCUCGACGUGUGAGUUACAUUCGACGCCUGGUACUCAGACCGACGCGUUAACAGAGAAGCAGGAAAAAGCAUACCAUUGUAGAAAUUCAUCAAAUCACAAAGAAAGAGAGGAAGAGAAGAAGAAAGGAAUUACAGAGCAGUGAGAAAACAAUUAAUAAAAUGGCAACAGUAAGUUCACACGUGUCAAUAAUAACUUGAAACAGAAAUGGACUAAAUUCUCUCAUCAGAAGACACAGAGG
This 336-nucleotide long non-coding RNA is filed under the name Mustela putorius furo (domestic ferret). RNAcentral's name for it is "lncRNA (ENSMPUG00000027875.1)". The record is from RNAcentral. Lineage: Eukaryota; Metazoa; Chordata; Mammalia; Carnivora; Mustelidae.